UACGGAGGGUGCAAACGUUGCUCGGAAUCAUUGGGCGUAAAGCGCACGUAGGCGGCCCAGCAAGUCGGGUGUGAAAGCCCUCGGCUUAACCGAGGAAGUGCAUUCGAAACUACUGAGCUUGAAUACUGGAGAGGAUCGCGGAAUUCCCGGUGUAGAGGUGAAAUUCGUAGAUAUCGGGAGGAACACCAGUGGCGAAGGCGGCGAUCUGGACAGAUAUUGACGCUGAGGUGCGAAAGCUAGGGGAGCAAACGGG
This 253-nucleotide ribosomal RNA is filed under the name uncultured bacterium. Its description in RNAcentral is "partial 16S ribosomal RNA". It matches the Rfam family "Bacterial small subunit ribosomal RNA", at positions 524 to 776 of the family's 1533-position model. The record is from RNAcentral.